AUGAACGCUGGCGGCGUGCCUAAUACAUGCAAGUCGCGCGAACAGACGAGGAGCUUGCUCCCCUGACGUUAGCGGCGGACGGGUGAGUAACACGUGGAUAACCUACCUAUAAGACUGGGAUAACUUCGGGAAACCGGAGCUAAUACCGGAUAAUAUAUUGAACCGCAUGGUUCAAUAGUGAAAGACGGUUUUGCUGUCACUUAUAGAUGGAUCCGCGCCGCAUUAGCUAGUUGGUAAGGUAACGGCUUACCAAGGCAACGAUGCGUAGCCGACCUGAGAGGGUGAUCGGCCACACUGGAACUGAGACACGGUCCAGACUCCUACGGGAGGCAGCAGUAGGGAAUCUUCCGCAAAGGGCGAAAGCCUGACGGAGCAACGCCGCGUGAGUGAUGAAGGUCUUCGGAUCGUAAAACUCUGUUAUUAGGGAAGAACAAAUGUGUAAGUAACUAUGCACGUCUUGACGGUACCUAAUCAGAAAGCCACGGCUAACUACGUG
This 496-nucleotide ribosomal RNA is filed under the name uncultured bacterium. RNAcentral describes it as "partial 16S ribosomal RNA". It matches the Rfam family "Bacterial small subunit ribosomal RNA", at positions 29 to 507 of the family's 1533-position model. The record is from RNAcentral.